This 492-nucleotide ribosomal RNA is filed under the name uncultured bacterium. RNAcentral's name for it is "partial 16S ribosomal RNA". It matches the Rfam family "Bacterial small subunit ribosomal RNA", at positions 29 to 507 of the family's 1533-position model. The record is from RNAcentral.
AGUGAACGCUGGCGGUAGGCCUAACACAUGCAAGUCGAACGGCAGCACAGUAAGAGCUUGCUCUUACGGGUGGCGAGUGGCGGACGGGUGAGGAAUACAUCGGAAUCUACUUUUUCGUGGGGGAUAACGUAGGGAAACUUACGCUAAUACCGCAUACGACCUACGGGUGAAAGCAGGGGAUCUUCGGACCUUGCGCGAUUGAAUGAGCCGAUGUCGGAUUAGCUAGUUGGCGGGGUAAAGGCCCACCAAGGCGACGAUCCGUAGCUGGUCUGAGAGGAUGAUCAGCCACACUGGAACUGAGACACGGUCCAGACUCCUACGGAAGGCAGCAGUGGGGAAUAUUGGACAAUGGGCGCAAGCCUGAUCCAGCCAUACCGCGUGGGUGAAGAAGGCCUUCGGGUUGUAAAGCCCUUUUGUUGGGAAAGAAAAGCAGCAGGUUAAUACCCCGCUGUUCUGACGGUACCCAAAGAAUAAACACCGGCUAACUUCGUG